GACGAACGCUGGCGGCGUGCUUAACACAUGCAAGUCGAACGGAAAGGCCCUGCUUUUGUGGGGUGCUCGAGUGGCGAACGGGUGAGUAACACGUGAGUAACCUGCCCUUGACUUUGGGAUAACUUCAGGAAACUGGGGCUAAUACCGGAUAGGAGCUCCUGCUGCAUGGUGGGGGUUGGAAAGUUUCGGCGGUUGGGGAUGGACUCGCGGCUUAUCAGCUUGUUGGUGGGGUAGUGGCUUACCAAGGCUUUGACGGGUAGCCGGCCUGAGAGGGUGACCGGCCACAUUGGGACUGGGAUACGGCCCAGACUCCUACGGGAGGAAGCAGUGGGGAAUAUUGAACAAUGGGCGGAAGCCUGAGGCAGCAACGCCGCGUGCGGGAUGACGGCCUUCGGGUUGUAAACCGCUUUCGCCUGUGACGAAGCGUGAGUGACGGUAAUGGGUAAAGAAGCACCGGCUAACUACGU
This 467-nucleotide ribosomal RNA is filed under the name uncultured bacterium. RNAcentral describes it as "partial 16S ribosomal RNA". It matches the Rfam family "Bacterial small subunit ribosomal RNA", at positions 28 to 506 of the family's 1533-position model. The record is from RNAcentral.